This 65-nucleotide transfer RNA is filed under the name Leptogaster cylindrica. RNAcentral's name for it is "tRNA-Glu". It matches the Rfam family "tRNA". Rfam says of the family: Transfer RNA (tRNA) molecules are approximately 80 nucleotides in length. Their secondary structure includes four short double-helical elements and three loops (D, anti-codon, and T loops). Further hydrogen bonds mediate the characteristic L-shaped molecular structure. tRNAs have two regions of fundamental functional importance: the anti-codon, which is responsible for specific mRNA codon recognition, and the 3' end, to which the tRNAs corresponding amino acid is attached (by aminoacyl-tRNA synthetases). tRNAs cope with the degeneracy of the genetic code in two manners: having more than one tRNA (with a specific anti-codon) for a particular amino acid; and 'wobble' base-pairing, i.e. permitting non-standard base-pairing at the 3rd anti-codon position. The record is from RNAcentral. Lineage: Eukaryota; Metazoa; Arthropoda; Insecta; Diptera; Asilidae.
AUUUAUAUAGUUUAAUAAAAACAUUACAUUUUCACUGUAAAAAUAAGGAAUUUCUUUUAUAAAUU